Molecule: non-coding RNA, 29 nt
Filed under: Bombyx mori (domestic silkworm)
Lineage: Eukaryota; Metazoa; Arthropoda; Insecta; Lepidoptera; Bombycidae
Source: RNAcentral
AUUGAUCAGAAGAGGGACACAGACAGUGU